This 73-nucleotide transfer RNA is filed under the name Felis catus (domestic cat). It matches the Rfam family "tRNA". From Rfam's summary of the family: Transfer RNA (tRNA) molecules are approximately 80 nucleotides in length. Their secondary structure includes four short double-helical elements and three loops (D, anti-codon, and T loops). Lineage: Eukaryota; Metazoa; Chordata; Mammalia; Carnivora; Felidae. The record is from Rfam by way of RNAcentral.
GCCUGGCUGGCUCAGUUGGUAAAGCAUAGGACUCUUGGUCUUGGGGUUGCGAGUUCGAGUCCCACGUUGGGUG